Etheostoma spectabile (orangethroat darter) is the source of this 76-nucleotide long non-coding RNA. RefSeq lists it as uncharacterized. The transcript is spliced from 3 exons. Lineage: Eukaryota; Metazoa; Chordata; Actinopteri; Perciformes; Percidae. The record is from RefSeq and is a predicted model, not a curated record.
UACUUUAUUCACUCUAAACCAGUUGAUGGAAACACUUCUAAUUCACAUUUUCUUUUUUUCUACAUUUUAAAAGUUC